RNAcentral lists this ribosomal RNA (464 nucleotides) under uncultured bacterium. Its description in RNAcentral is "SSU rRNA". It matches the Rfam family "Bacterial small subunit ribosomal RNA", at positions 26 to 518 of the family's 1533-position model. The record is from RNAcentral.
AGAACGAACGCUGGCGGCAUGCUUAACACAUGCAAGUUGAACGGACUAAUUUGGGGCUUGCUCCAGAUUAGUUAGUAGCAGACGGGUGAGUAACACGUGGGAAUCUACCCAUCAGUACGGAAUAAACCUUUGGAAACAGAUGCUAAUACCGUAUAUUCUCUUCGGAGGAAAGAUUUAUCGCUGAUGGAUGAGCCCGCGUCAGAUUAGGUAGUUGGUGGGGUAAUGGCCUACCAAGCCGACGAUCUGUAGCUGGUCUGAGAGGAUGAUCAGCCACACUGGGACUGAGACACGGCCCAGACUCCUACGGGAGGCAGCAGUGGGGGAAUAUUGGACAAUGGGCGAAAGCCUGAUCCAGCAAUGCCGCGUGAAUGAUGAAGGCCUUAGGGUUGUAAAGUUCUUUUAGCAGGGAAGAUAAUGACGGUACCUGUAGAAUAAGCCCCGGCUAACUCCGCGCCAGCAGCCGC